UGGGGAAUAUUGCACAAUUGGCGCAAGCCUGAUGCAGCCAUGCCGCGUGUGUGAAGAAGGCCUUCGGGUUGUAAAGCACUUUCAGCGGGGAGGAAGGCGGUGAGGUUAAUAACCUCAUCGAUUGACGUUACCCGCAGAAGAAGCACCGGCUAACUCCGUGCCAGCAGCCGCGGUAAUACGGAGGGUGCAAGCGUUAAUCGGAAUUACUGGGCGUAAAGCGCACGCAGGCGGUCUGUCAAGUCGGAUGUGAAAUCCCCGGGCUCAACCUGGGAAAUGCAUUCGAAACUGGCAGGCUAGAGUCUUGUAGAGGGGGGUAGAAUUCCAGGUGUAGCGGUGAAAUGCGUAGAGAUCUGGAGGAAUACCGGUGGCGAAGGCGGCCCCCUGGACAAAGACUGACGCUCAGGUGCGAAAGCGUGGGGAGCAAACAGG
Molecule: ribosomal RNA, 429 nt
Filed under: Chloroflexota bacterium
Lineage: Bacteria; Bacillati; Chloroflexota
Description: Chloroflexi bacterium partial 16S ribosomal RNA
Rfam family: Bacterial small subunit ribosomal RNA
Source: RNAcentral